RNAcentral lists this ribosomal RNA (309 nucleotides) under Triticum aestivum (bread wheat). Its description in RNAcentral is "partial small subunit ribosomal RNA". The record is from RNAcentral. Lineage: Eukaryota; Viridiplantae; Streptophyta; Magnoliopsida; Poales; Poaceae.
AUGUUCGCCUCAUCUGUGGGGACGGAGGCGGCGGCGGUUGUCAGGAAGAUGGUGAACCUCAGCUCCCCUCCCCGGCGGUGCUGCAGCAGCAAGAUGGUGAAGGGACGCACCGGCCAGCGCGUGAGGCUCUAUGUUCGUGGCACCAUCCUCGGAUACAAGAGAUCGAGGCAGAUCCAAGUGAACACCAGGGAGGACGUGGCCUGGUACGGCGGCAAGAGGAUGGCCUGCGUCUACAAGGCCAAGACCAAGCAACGACACCAACUACCACUACAUCUGGGGCAAGGUCUCCCUCUCCCACGGAAACACUAG